GACGAGCCACACGAACGUUAUUCGGAAUUACUGGGCUUAAAGGGUGCGUAGGCGGCGCGGAAAGUUGGGUGUGAAAUCCCUCGGCUCAACCGAGGAACUGCGCCCAAAACUACCGUGCUCGAGGAAGAUAGGGGUGAGCGGAACUUACGGUGGAGCGGUGAAAUGCGUUGAUAUCGUAAGGAACACCCGUGGCGAAAGCGGCUCUCUGGACCACAACUGACGCUGAGGCGCGAAAGCUAGGGGAGCAAACAGG
RNAcentral lists this ribosomal RNA (253 nucleotides) under uncultured bacterium. Its description in RNAcentral is "partial 16S ribosomal RNA". It matches the Rfam family "Bacterial small subunit ribosomal RNA", at positions 524 to 776 of the family's 1533-position model. The record is from RNAcentral.